Molecule: long non-coding RNA, 5533 nt
Filed under: Ricinus communis (castor bean)
Lineage: Eukaryota; Viridiplantae; Streptophyta; Magnoliopsida; Malpighiales; Euphorbiaceae
Description: long non-coding RNA (RCOM_LNC001838)
Source: RNAcentral
UUGAGAGCACUUGAGCUUUGAAAGUAUGGAGAGCUUUAUUAAGUUUCCAACCUUCCUCUUGUAUGUUCUUGUUGUUCUUGUAUGUUACAAAUGAUGAAUAGAGGGGGUAUUUAUAGGCUUCCCACCUCCUCAACUUGUGGCUAGAAUUCAUUCUUUUAGAAUUCUCUACAAGCUACCUAUGUACAAGGCUUCCUUUGGAAGCUACUCUAUGUACAAACAAGGGAAGCUUCUAGGCAGCUCCUUGGCUUGGCACAAAGCUUUGCAUCCUCCAACAAUCUCUAGAUCCUUCCCUUGGUUUCCUUGGGCAGCUAACUUGGGCUAGGCUGCAACAUUGGGCUGGGCAUAUGUUGGACAUAUUUCUGCCUAUGGACAGCCUUGCCUUGCCUAAGAUGAGGCAGGUUGUGACACCCUCCCCCACUCAAUCUCGCGACAUCCUCCUCGCGCCUUGAGCUUUGUAAUUUUGGAUAUGCUCGGGGAAUUGCCAUAGCAAAUCUUCACGUUCCCACAUAGCCUCGGUGUCGGGCAAAUUUUUCUACUUCACCAAGUAUUCGUUGUAGUUGGGAACUCCUUUUCUUCUUAUCACUCUAUCCGCAAGGAUGCAUUCAAUCUCCUUGUCGAAUUCGGUGAUAACGGUUGUUGGAGCUCUUCUAGAUUCGCCACGGCUAGGGUCUUCCUUGUCUUCGUGGUAUGACUUAAGCAUACUCACCUGGAAGAAAUUAUGGAUUUUUAGUCUCGAAGGCAGUUGGAGCUGGUAGGCAGCAGCACCAACGCAUUUCACGACUGGGAACGGGCCUUCAUAUCGCCUUACCAAGCCUUUGUGUACUUUGCGGAGGGACUUGAACUGAUUAGGCAGUAAUUUCACCAUCACCAAGUUGCCAGCACUGUAUUCCUUGGGGCGUCUCUUCACGUCAGCCCACUUCUUCAUGCGCUUUGCUGCUUUGUCGAGGCAUGCCCUUGUUAUGUCCGCCUCUUCGUGCCAUUCCCUUGCAAACUUAUAGGCGGAAGGGUUGGCUCCUCCAUAGCCAGCAACAAUGGCAUUUGGCAUUAAUGGCUGCUGUCCCAUAAUGACUUCGAAAGGACUCUUACCCGUGGACUUGCUCCUUUGGAGGUUGUAUGAGAAUUGAGCCAUGUCAAGCAGUUUUGCCCAAUCUCGCUGGUGAGCACUAACAUAGUGCCUUAAGUAGAGUUCUAGCAAGGCAUUAAUCCUUUCCGUUUGGCCGUCGCUUUGCGGAUGAAAGCUUGUGGAGAAGUUAAGGUCUGUGCCCGGCAACUUGAACAACUCUCGCCAGAACUUGUCGGUAAACCGAGGGUCUCUAUUGCUGAUUAUACUCUUCGGUAAGCCCCACAGCUUCACAACAUUCUUGAAGAAAAGGUGAGCUGCCUCGUCUACCUUGCAAUCCGCCGGGGCAGGGAUAAAAGUAGCAUACUUGCUAAAUCUAUCCACGACAACCAUGAUACUUCCAAACCCUUCGAAUUUUGGCAGGGCCACAAUGAAGUCCAUCGAGACAAUCUCCCACAGACUUUCAGCGAUGGGAAGAGGUUCAAGUAGACCAGCAGGCUGUUGUUGUUCCACCUUGUCUUGUUGGCAUACAAGGCAGGUCCGAACAUAGGCCUCCACAUCGUCCUUAAGUUGCAGCCAGUAGUAGUUUUGCUGGACUAACGCAAGUGUGCGAGUCAUGCCGGGAUGUCCAGCCCACAUCGAGUCAUGGCACUCCUUCAGAAUUUCUCUCUGCAGAUUUCCCUACUUCGGCAGAUAGACUCGAUUGCCAACGGUGAGGAUAAGGCCAUCUUUCUCCUAGAAUCGUCAAGUUUUUCCCUCGAUCGCCAGCUUGAUGAUGCUCUUGGCCAAAGUGUCUUACUGCAUUCCUUCCUUGAUGUGGUUAAGGAAGUCGCUCUUCGGCGUGCUAGUAGCAAUGGAAGCCAACUCCGCCUUUCUACUCAAUGCAUCAGCGACAACGUUGGCUUUGCCUGGCUUAUAUUCAAGCUUGUAGUCGAAUUCGGCCAAGAAAUCUUGCCAGCGUGCUUGCUUAGGACUCAACUUCUUUUAAGUUUGGAAAUAGCUUGUAGCUACAUUGUCCGUCAAAAUAGUGAACUUGCUGCCGAGCAAGUAGUGUCUCCAUGUGUGCAAGCAGUGGACGACGACGGUCAUUUCCUUCUCUUGGACAGUAUACCGCCUCUCCGUUUUGUUGAGCUUGCAACUCUCAUGGUCGAUAGGGUGCCUAUCUUGCAUGAGGACGCCUCCAAUGGCAUAGUCUGAGGCAUCCAUGUGCACCUCAAAUGGUUUUCCGUAGUCGAGCAGCAUCAUGACAGGCUCCAUUGACACAACAUCCUUCAAGGCUCCGAAUGCAGCUUGGCAUUCCUCACCCCAAUUCCAUACCUUAUUCUUCUUGAGUAGUUCCAUCAAUGGAGCGGCAAUGGCAGAAUAGCCUUUAAUGAACCGCCGAUAAUAGUUCACCAGCCCAAGAAAAGAUUGCAACUCGGGCACUUUAGAAGAAGGUUGCCAUUCUUGGAUGGCUUUAACUUUUGCUGGAUCCAUCAUCAACCUGCCAUCCUUGAUUCGAUGGCCAAGGAACUCCACUUCUUCUCUCGUGAAUGAGCAUUUCUCGCGCUUCACGUACAGCUCGUGUUCACGGAGUACUUGGAAAACUUGCUUGAGGUGUUGCACAUGCUCCUCAAGACUGUUGCUGUGCACAACAAUGUCAUCCAAAUAAACAACCAUGAACUUAUCAAGAAAGGGAUGGAGUACCUGGUUCAUGAGUGUGCAGAAAGUGGCAGUGGCAUUAGUGAGGCCGAAAGGCAUGACCAAAAACUCAAAAGCUCUAUAUCGCGUCACACCUGCUGUCUUCGGCACAUCACCAAGUGCGAUGCGGACUUGGUAGUAACCAGACCGCAAAUCCAGCUUUGAGAAAUAUCGAGCCUUCCCCAAUUGAUCGAACAAGUUGGCAAUCAAGGGGAUUGGAUACUUGUUCUUGAUGAUAAUCUUGUUUAAAGUCCGAUAAUCUAUGCACAUCCGUAACGAACCGUCCUUCUUCUUUUGAAAGAGGACUGGCGCACCAUAUGGGGCCUUCGAUGGCUGGAUAUAGCCCGAAUCAAGUAGGUCUUGGAGCUGUUUCCUCAAUUCAGCCAGCUCCGGAGGUGCCAUGCGAUAGGGUGCCAUGGCAGGAGGUUUAGCACCAGGCUCGAGCUUAAUGUGGUGAUCCACAUCUCGCUUUGGUGGAAACUUUUGCGGCAGCUUCGGUGGCAUCACAUCCUUGUAUUCGUCAAGGACUGCUUCGAUGGAUUGUGGCAAAUGCGGGGCAAACUGCUCAACAUCGUCCUCGUCGUUGAGCUCCCUCAUGGUUGCGACGUAACACUCCCCGUUCUUGAGACCCCACUUGAAUUGCAAGGCAGAAAUCAUAGCGGGUUUAGAUCUCACCAUGCUCUUCAAGAGGAUCACUCGAAGCUUGAAAGCGUCAAGGAUCACUAGAGAGCUCAUGGAAGGGACUGGAAUGGCAUAGGCUUUGUAGAAGAAUGCUAGACCAAAGACAGUUUUAAAAUCAUCCAUAGGCACAACAGUAAAGUCUACCGUACCUUGCCAAUCACCAACUUUCACCUUCACAUUUUCCACAAUGCCAUAUACAGGCUUUGCCUCUGAAUUGACAACCUUAAUUAAUCGUGCCGACCUCUUUGGACAGCUUCAGGCCUAGGCGCUUCGCCUCGUGCACAUCCAUGAAGUUGUGCGUAGCACCCGUAUCAAGCAUGGGGCAGGCAGCUUUGCCCUCAAUGAAAGCGUCGACGUAAAGCAAGCCUCUCUCAUUGGAGACGGAACGAGAGAGGAGCUUUGAUAGCGCACCUAGAUGCUGUAGAGAACCCAUACCAGCUUGGGGUUCUUCUUGGCAGUUAUCUUUGUUGAAUUCUACCACGAUGGCAUUUAUCGCCUUUCGAUUUGGGCAGUCCCUCACCUAGUGUGGUCCAUCGUAAAUGAAGCAAGGCUUGGGCGGCUUAGAGGCAGCAGGUUUCUCCUUGUGGGAUGAGCCUUUGCCGUGUUUUGAGUUGCCGCCAGAGGACUUCUGGUAGCCACUCUCCUUGCCUUUAUUGAAGUCCCUCUUUUGGCCUCCCCCACUCUUGGAAGAGCUAGACUUCUUGCCCUUGUCUUAAGUAGAGUAGUCCUUGAGGUUCUCCACUGCGGCAAUUGCUUCAUUAAGGGUCUGAACUCCGCGUCGCUCGAGCUCUAUCUUCACCUAAUCUUUCAACCCAUCCUUGAAAUCAAAGAGGAGUUGAUCGUCGGUUAGGUCUGGAAUCUCUAGCAUGAGAGUCGUGAACUUCUUGAUGUACUAGACAAUGCCUCCUGUUUGCCUUAGCCUACGCAGCCUGCUUCGAACCUCAUCGUUGGUGUUAUGAGGCACAAAUUGCUUGCGGAGCUCGGUCUUGAACUGUUCCCAUGUGUUGAUUAUGUAAAGCCCCUUCUCCCUAUCGGAAUGUUUCCUUCUCCACCAGAGUUGGGCGGAAUCCUUUAGGAAGAUGGCAGUGUUGCUAAUCUUCGAGAAGUCAUCUGUGACGUUCAUCGCCUCGUAGUAUUGUUCAAGCCCGAACAAGAAGUUUUCCACCAUAGUGGCGUUGCGUGUGCCAUUGUACAUGGCAAGCUUAGGGACUUUCAAUCCGUGCGGGGCAGCGGAACUAGUAGUGGCAGCUGUGCUUGUCGAGGGUGGACUACCUCGACGAAGAGCAUCCAUCUCCCUACGAAGCUCUUUCAGCUUAUCUCAUAGGGUCUUUUGCUGGUCGGCGAACUCCUCCCUAAGGGAGCAUAGUUCUCCCCGAAAGUCUUUGCUAAGAUCUUCGAUCAUGGCCUUGGCAGCCCUUGUGAUCUCCAUGUUUUCGUGGAUGAGGUUGUUAGCCUGAUCACUAAGCUCGCCAACAAUCGAAGUCACGCUAGCCAAAUCUUUCUCAAGGCUAGCAACUCUGGACUCCACAGGCUCGCCGCUGGAGCCUUGGAUUUGCCCUGUCUAGGCUGUGAUUGUUGUUCCUCACGCCCACGGGUCUGUUCAGUGCGUUGCUCUUCCACCGCAGCAGCCACAAUUCCUUCCUCGCUUGCCAUCACUCGAAUCACUUCCACCAGCGGUACCUAGGAUUCAAACCGUUGCUCUAAUACCACCUGUCACGAAACUUCAGCUUAGAGGUUAGCUAAGUCGCGUGGCACGUAGUUAACUUGCUUGACGAAGUUGAACUAAGUAAGCCUUGAUGAGAGUUGGGAGCAAUUUUAGGUGAGCAAAGUAGGCAGCAGGGGUUUAGGACUUGGGUCGGGUAGAGAGUUGGGAGCACUUGAGCUUUCAAAGUAUGGAGAGCUUUAUUAAGUUUCCAACCUUCCUUUUAUAUGUUCUUGUUGUUCUUGUAUGUUACAAAUGAUGAAUGGAGGGGGUAUUUAUAGGCUUCCCACCUCCUCAACUUGUGGCUAGAAUUCAUUCUUCUAGAAUUCUCUACAAGCUACCUAUGUACAAGGCUUCCUUUGGAAGCUACUCUAUGUACAAACAAGGGAAGCUUCUAGGCAGCUCCUUGG